AUGAGGGGAGGCUCUGCACAGCUGUGGGGCCACAGAAGGCGGGAUCGGUCCCCUCUCCUCCUCAGCCUCCUCGCUCACUGCACGGGGUCCUGGGCCCAGUCUCUGCUGACUCAGCCGCCCUCCGUGUCUGGGGCCCUGGGCCAGAGGGUCACCAUCUCCUGCACUGGAAGCAGCUCCAACAUCGGGGGUGGUAAUUAUGUGAGCUGGUACCAACAGCUCCCAGGAAAAGCCCCCAGAACCAUCAUCUAUAGUAACAGCAACCGACCCUCAGGGGUCCCGGAUUGAUUCUCUGGCUCGAGGUCUGGCAGCUCAGGCACCCUGACCAUCACUGGGCUCCAGGCUGAGGACGAGGCUGAGUAUUACUGCCAGUCCUAUGACAGCAGUCUCAGUGCUCACACAGUGCUCCCGGCCUGUGGGGAAGUGAGACAAAAACCUACUUACCCCCCUGCAAAGUGA
Non-coding RNA from Odobenus rosmarus divergens (Pacific walrus), 456 nucleotides. The record is from the annotation of a RefSeq genome assembly. Lineage: Eukaryota; Metazoa; Chordata; Mammalia; Carnivora; Odobenidae.